UCCCUCAGUAGCUGCGAGCGAACAGGGAAGAGCCCAGCGCCGAAUUCCGCGUCCGAAAGGGCGUCUGGAACAUGUGGCGUUUAGGAGGAAUCUCUCCGAGGGCAGACGGUGUCGCAAGUCCCCCUGAACGGGGCUGUGAUCCAGAGCGGGUGCGAGGCCCAUAGCUGGUACCGUCUCCUUCGGGUGUCGCCUCCUUGGAGUCGGGUUGCUUGGGAGUGCAGCCCUAAUUGGGUGGUAAACUCCACCUAAGGCUAAAUACGUCCGUGAGACCGAUAGCAAACAAGUACCGUGAGGGAAAGUUGCAAAGAACUUUGAAGAGAGAGUUCAAGAGUACGUGAAACCGCUCAGAGGCAAACGGGUGGGCCCACGAAAGCCGAAGGCGGGGGGAUUCAGUCGAGAGGACGGCGGGGCAAGACUGGCUGGUCGGACGGACCGUGCCAGGCCGGGUCAGUUCCCGAGAUCCGUCGCCUUUCGACGCACUUCCCUCUGCUUAGUAGGACGCCGCAACCGGUCGGUGCUGCAGCCAUAAGGGAGAGUAUUCGGAAGGUAGCCAGCGAGUUCUUCUUCGGAGGCGCAAGCUGGUCCUAAGCCCGCUCCCCUGGUGCUUGUGGUCCGACCGUGGUCAGAGUCCCUGAACGGGAUGUUGCCGAGCCCUCCGUAUGGAGUGGGAGAGACUGCAGGCCACCUUCUGUGACGUUGCUUCACGCAUGCAGUGUGCAAGCGUUCGGAGGUGACUGCUGGCCUGUCUUUUCCCGCGCCGGGCACAGGCAGUUGGCGGCGAGUAGGUCGGUCACCCACCCGACCCGUCUUGAAACACGGACCAAGGAGUCUAACAUGUGCGCGAGUCAUUGGGUCUCGAAGAAGCCCAAAGGCGCAAUGAAAGUGAACACCAGCACUGAAGCUGGUGGAGUUGGGAAACUGCGUCGACGACGGCGCGGUUGCACCAACGGCCCGUCCCGUCCGCAUCGUCGGUGGGGCGGAGCGAGAGCGUACACGUUGGGACCCGAAAGAUGGUGAACUAUGCCUGGGCAGGACGAAGCCAGAGGAAACUCUGGUGGAGGUCCG
Molecule: ribosomal RNA, 1065 nt
Filed under: Hubbardiidae sp. WAMT120204
Lineage: Eukaryota; Metazoa; Arthropoda; Arachnida; Schizomida; Hubbardiidae
Also listed under: 7 other names
Description: partial large subunit ribosomal RNA
Rfam family: Eukaryotic large subunit ribosomal RNA
Source: RNAcentral